UGUACAGAGUUUGUUAAAUCCGCUCUUUUGCUCCCCGUUUACAUGGCUAAUAAUCUCCAAGCUGCUCUAAGCGGUGUUGUUUGUGUGAAUAUUGUUUUCCAUAAAGUUAAUAACCCCCCCUAAAACGAAAUAUGAAAUGACCUCUUCCCCUAUCGUUAAAGCGUGCGAUACAUUUUUAAAACCAGUGAUUUAAUUCAAAAUAUUUAGUACCUACAUUUUAACACAUGUUAUAAUUCCAAAUUAUGUGUCCGCUGUGCGGGGAAAAUGAUAAUACAAGCGGAACUACGUAGCUAAUACUGUUGUAACUGGGGAUCCUUAUUGUAGCAACACACUUUUGUAGGGAAGGCAAUCCUGCGCUGCGUUAGCAAAAUUUUCAUGUCAUCGGGUGUAGUUCAUAAAGGUUGAAGAGUGUAUGUUAGGAUGAAGUGUGAAUUCAUGCCAGGAAUAAUAAGUGUGAAGUUUGAUUUCCUCCCUUCUGUAAUAAGCAGCCAAUGAGUUCUCACUGAAGGGGAUAAUUCUCACUGAAACUACUGAAUAAAGCCGCCCGUUAAAAUCAUUGAACGGUUGUGCUCGUGGUUACUGAAGGGAGCUAUGCCCACAUCAUUAAUGAAUAAGAUGUGUGGAAAACUGUUUAGCCAUAGUUAAAGGCCUUUCAUAAAGAGGCUGUCAUGAUUGCAUGUCCCUUAUGUUUAACACGUAUUGCUUGUUACAGAAUACUACUGUUGUACAUUUAAUAUCCCCUAGCAGAUUUCGUUGCCUUUGCACAAAUUCUGUCAUGUUAUUGUGGUCUUUUUAAAAGUCAAUAAAAAUGUGUGUAAAGUG
Oncorhynchus nerka (sockeye salmon) is the source of this 822-nucleotide long non-coding RNA. RefSeq lists it as uncharacterized. The record is from RefSeq and is a predicted model, not a curated record. The transcript has 2 exons. NCBI's taxonomy places the organism in Eukaryota, Metazoa, Chordata, Actinopteri, Salmoniformes, Salmonidae.